Molecule: long non-coding RNA, 1248 nt
Filed under: Panax ginseng (ginseng)
Lineage: Eukaryota; Viridiplantae; Streptophyta; Magnoliopsida; Apiales; Araliaceae
Description: long non-coding RNA (PGIN_LNC010826)
Source: RNAcentral
GAUGAUAAGUGAACGGGAGAUCACAAGGAGAAAGCGAACUGGACAUGCCACAAAUCUGAAGUGUCUUGUUAUUCAGAAGGGGCCAGAACAAGGAGUCAAGCCAUCAGUAUCUGAGAUCAGUCAAGGCAAACAGAAGUGUUGAGGCACUGCACAAGAGAAGGAAGAGGUGCUCUACAUUGAAGAUUAAGUCAACACUCUUCAAGAUCGUAGUGUUGAUUCUAUAUAUGAGCAAGUCAACAAGACACUAUGAUCAGGUCCAAGAAGAUAUGCAUCAAAAUCGUAGAGUUCGAACAGCUGAAAAUUGAGGCAUUGGCAGCGACUCAAUCUGAAGAUUGAUAUUCGAAUAAGAGCUUAUUGAGAGCAUCGAUGCAAAAGGAAAACCUCUGAUCGAGAAAUUAGAAGGAAGAAAUAAAGUUGACUACCUGCCCAAGACAUGAAAGUAACAUAUCUGAUGGGGUAGGUGAAACAGUAGACUGCAGUGUCAGAAAGUCAGAAAAAGAUGUCAUGUCACAUCUAUAGUCUGCACCAAAUAACUCGAGAUCUGCGAAGCAAUUUGAAUAGCUUUCAACGGCUACCUUCCAAUGGGAAGAUUGGGAAGCAGUAUAAAUCAACAGAGCUUUAAAGAUCAAGAGUUGCUGAUGAUUGCUAAGUUGCAGAAUCAUUGAGUUGUUGGGAAUGCUAUUGUUGACUCUACGAGUUCCACCAAAGAUCAACAGAACAAGUCUCAGUGACAGUGAAACUACAUAGGUGGAAGUGAAACAGAUUUGAAGAAGAACUCAAACAGAUUAAAGCUUCACUCAACAAAGAUGAGAAUGCUACUGAAGAUGGCAGCCAAGAUGAGAGCCGAGAAGGCCAAGAAGAUAACAUUCAGAAGAGUGGCUGAGUACAAAGAAGAUCAAGAGAGCCACUCUACGAAUCACCAUGAACCAAAAGCUGAAAUUGAACAAGUGCAGAACCAUGUCUGUAAAGCAUUCAAGAAGGGUUCAGGGAUUGCUAAGUGCCAGACGAAGUCUACUAAAAGCACAGAGACUUAGCAAACCCAGAUGGUGAUGGUGCACAGCUGAUACCAGAUGAAGAUGAGUAGAAAAGAGUGAAGAUCAGCUGCACCAAAGAAAAUGUGGUCCAGACUUGAAGUAAAAUGCAAAGAGGACCACAUCAAGCUGCUAAGUACAAAAGAUGUUCAAAGCUUAAUGACAUCUUAGCAACUCAGCACCAACAACAACAACAGCUACAAUAACAAGAAGCCAG